CUGACUGGGCACUGCACAGAUGUGGAAGCUGAGAGCAGGAACCCGGAACCCUCAAACCCUUCUAUGCAAAUGAAGCGGCUUCGCCAACACCACCUGACGGCACAGUGGAAAGCCCUGCGGAUGACCCCGGAAGUCCUUUGCCGUUUCCACAUUCAGGAAGUGGAAGAGGGGCUAGGAGCAUAAGCGCCUGCCCCAGUGCUAUUUGAAGGAUUAUCGUAAAGCAGGGCUCCAGCCUGUCCUCCCAAUACCCUUCUCCGGAGGAGACGAAAGAGAAGCCCACGCACUUCUACCCGGGGGCGUCCUCCCGUCCUCGC
This is a long non-coding RNA of Eubalaena glacialis (North Atlantic right whale), 314 nucleotides long. RefSeq lists it as uncharacterized. The transcript has 3 exons. NCBI's taxonomy places the organism in Eukaryota, Metazoa, Chordata, Mammalia, Artiodactyla, Balaenidae. The record is from RefSeq and is a predicted model, not a curated record.